RNAcentral lists this long non-coding RNA (206 nucleotides) under Elaeis guineensis (African oil palm). Its description in RNAcentral is "long non-coding RNA (EGUI_LNC021197)". Lineage: Eukaryota; Viridiplantae; Streptophyta; Magnoliopsida; Arecales; Arecaceae. The record is from RNAcentral.
GGCCUGUAUUCAUAUGGAUGCUAACUUUGGAUGUCGAUCUUUCUAUAGAUUCGCAGCUAUCUAAAAAUCUUUUAAAAUUUUUAUAUCUUUUUUAAUAUAUAUAUAAAAAAAAUAAUAAAAUUAAUACUUCAUAAAUAGGUUAUUUUCAUAAAAUAUAUUUAUAAAAUUACUUAUCAUAAUAAAAAAUAUUUUUUAUUAUAUAUAUA